RNAcentral lists this unclassified non-coding RNA (421 nucleotides) under soil metagenome. RNAcentral describes it as "partial contains 5.8S ribosomal RNA, internal transcribed spacer 2, and large subunit ribosomal RNA". The stretch from base 1 to 120 matches the Rfam family "5.8S ribosomal RNA", at positions 35 to 154 of the family's 154-position model. The record is from RNAcentral.
GAUGAAGAACGCAGCGAAAUGCGAUACGUAAUGUGAAUUGCAGAAUUCAGUGAAUCAUCGAAUCUUUGAACGCAUAUUGCGCUCUUUGGUAUUCCGAAGAGCAUGCUUGUUUGAGUAUCAGUAAACACCUCAACCUCUUCUUGAUUUUUCAAAAGGAGGGUGGACUUGAGCUAUCCCAACAACCUUUACCGGUCGGCGGGCGGCUUAAAAUGCAGGUGCAGCUGGACUUUUAUCUGAGCUAAAAGCAUAUCUAUUUAGUCCUCGUCAAACAGGAUUAUUACUUUUGCUGCAGCUAACAUAAAGGAUAAUUGUCCUCUUUGCUGACUGAUGCAGGAUUUUACGACACUUUAUGUGUUGUUCAACUCGAUCUCAAAUCAAGUAAGACUACCCGCUGAACUUAAGCAUAUCAAUAAGCGGAGGA